CUGUGCCGCUGAGCUAAAUCCCCAGCCCCUAAGCUUGUUUUCAUAGUUCUGCUUGUCAGUGUCUGGGUAAGUCCUUACACUGGUCAGCUUUUCUGUUGCUGGGACACAAUACCCAACACUUAAAGAAGGAGAGGUUUGUUUGGCUUCCAAGGUUUCAGUCCAUGGCUGGCUGAAUCCAAGGCAUAGACAUCAUGGCGGAAGGACGCAACAGAAGGAAAGCUGCUCAAUUCAUGGUGCCCAGGAAGCGGAGCAGGGGAAGUGCCGGAGAGGAAGAAGCCAGGGACUAGGUAUAGACCCACGGCCACACCUCCGUGAUGUGUUAUACUAAGCCUGAGGUCGCUCCCAAGCCGACCAAAUUGACAAUUAAGCUUAUCCACCGCAGCCCUUCUGUCGUGAAGGUCCCAAUCUGUCUCCAGAGUCCCCGCCUUGUAAAGGUCCUGCGGAGUCUCGGAUGUGGAGCCUCUAGAACUCAAGCUGUGGGCUCAAACUGAAAAGAAGAAGCAGGAUUUGAAAAGAGAAAGCCAUUUCCCCAACUUCCUCCUCCCUACAGCUGUUGUUCUUUGUUCUAAUACAGAUAAAAGCGGCAACUUUUGUCCCUAUUACGAAAGAGCUCAUAAUUUGAUGGCAUUAUUGGGAGAUGAUGGAAAUAGGACCCGAGACCUAGCUGAAGAGAGCGCAUCACAGAAGUGUGGACCUGGGGACCGUGCUGGUCCCUGGCCCCUUAUUCCCUGGCUCUUCCUGUCUCUGCCCCUGGCUGUCAGGAAGACCUGGUUGCCGUGCGAUGUCCUUCCGCCGUGAUGUUUCUGCCCUGCCACUCGCCUAAAAGCAAUGGAGCUGGCCGCUCAUGGACUGAAAGCUCUGCAAAUGUGAACCAGGAUAAACUUUUCCGCUUUUAUUUUUUAUUUAUUUAUUUUUAAAAACGUUUCCACUUUUACAUUAGUCGCAGAGGUAAAAAGCUAACUCAUACACCAUCUUAACUAUUUUUAAGUGAUAUUAAAUAUAUUUUCAGUGAUAUUAAGUACAACCAUCACCAACAUCAAUCUUCAUCUUUCUUAU
This 1056-nucleotide long non-coding RNA is filed under the name Chinchilla lanigera (long-tailed chinchilla). RNAcentral describes it as "lncRNA (ENSCLAG00000027807.1)". Lineage: Eukaryota; Metazoa; Chordata; Mammalia; Rodentia; Chinchillidae. The record is from RNAcentral.